GCCAUAGUAGCAUAGUUGGUAAUGCACUUGACUGAAGAUCUCGUUAGUGAUAGGUUCGAAUCCUUCCUAUGGCA
Microbotryomycetes sp. JL201 is the source of this 74-nucleotide non-coding RNA. The record is from the annotation of a GenBank genome assembly. NCBI's taxonomy places the organism in Eukaryota, Fungi, Basidiomycota, Microbotryomycetes.